RNAcentral lists this ribosomal RNA (497 nucleotides) under uncultured bacterium. Its description in RNAcentral is "partial 16S ribosomal RNA". It matches the Rfam family "Bacterial small subunit ribosomal RNA", at positions 28 to 507 of the family's 1533-position model. The record is from RNAcentral.
GAUGAACGCUGGCGGCGUGCCUAAUACAUGCAAGUCGAGCGAACAGACGAGGAGCUUGCUCCUCUGACGUUAGCGGCGGACGGGUGAGUAACACGGGGAUAACCUACCUAUAAGACUGGGAUAACUUCGGGAAACCGGAGCUAAUACCGGAUAAUAUAUUGAACCGCAUGGUUCAAUAGUGGAAGACGGUUUUGCUGUCACUUAUAGAUGGAUCCGCGCCGCAUUAGCUAGUUGGUAAGGUAACGGCUUACCAAGGCAACGAUGCGUAGCCGACCUGAGAGGGUCAUCGGCCACACUGGAACUGAGACACGGUACCGACUCCUACGGGAGGCAGCAGCAGGGACUCCUCCGCAAUGGGCGAAAGCCUGACGGAGCAACGUCGCGUGAGUGCUGAAGGUGUUCGGCUCGUAAAACUCUGUUAUUAGGGAAGUACAAAUGUGUAAGUAACUAUGCACGUAUUGACGGUACCUAAUCAGAAAGCCACGGCUAACUCCGUG